AGUGAUUUCCAGGGCUAUGUAGAGAGGCCCCUGACCCAACUAAUAAGUAAACAGGAAGAUAAAUAAAUAUAAUGAACUUAGAAUAAAACAAAGAAAGGAAGAAACAAGGGAAGGCAGUGCUGGGGGCCUGGCUUAUGGUGGAUGGGGGAAUUCUGUGCUAGGGUGCCUGAAACUCUGGGCUCCAUCCUCUGUAGUGCAUAAACUCUUUGGUACGUUAGCCCCUGUCUGUAACAAGGAGCUGUCCACGGUUGCAGUACUGCCUUUCCCAUCUCAGCUGCCCCUCAGGAGCUGUCCACAGUGGCGACACUUUUUCAUCCUCAGCCUACAGCUUUAGGGAAACACCACUGCAGGGGCUGUCCCAAAGGUGCUGUCCACAGAGGCAGCACCUUCUCUGUGGUCUCACCCCUCCAGACACCCCCCAGCAGCCCCACAGGGAUGGCACCUCAGUAAAAGCCAACUGUGGCCAGAGAAGUCUUCCUACCCUAACUCAUAGACUCGAUGCAGGGAAAACAGGGUGAAAAAAAGCCACCAAGCCCUGAGCUCCCCCCAGCUCAGGACUUAAAAUCUCAUCAAUCCUCACUAUGGAAAUCUCUGCCUUGAGAAGCUCUGCCCCCUCAUAAAUCCUAUAUAAGAACUGUCCCUUUGUCCAGUUCCCUGCCAUCCGCUCCCAGGAGCAGAGGGCAGUUAUCCCUGGAUUCAUCCCUCCACACCCUGGACCUGCCAAUAAACCUUUCUUGAGAUUUCAUGCUUCCUGUGAUUCUCAGUGGAAGAAGCCAAGAAGAAAAGAACCAAAGAGAGGGAGCCAGGCUGAGGCUCCUGAGUUCUUCAGCUCAGCUGUGGAUACCUGUGAUGGGAUCCUCUCCUCUUCCUGUAGCCUAAAGGAAAGGAGCAUAGACUGGCUAUCACUCCAAAAUUCAGACCAGCAUGAGGACAUGGAGCAGUAGCAUGGAAAUGCAUGUGAAUGAUGAGAGGAUAGUUCUCAUAGAAGCUGGAGAUAUGCCACGGCCCUGGGGAGCCGCUAUGACCUUGAGCCUCUUCAUAGCGGUGUUAGGGAAAGAAAAGGCCUCUGAGGAGCAGACACAAGAAGGCACACCGAGGCUGAAUGAUGUACAGAAGACACAAAGGUCUGGAAGGGAGGAGACCCUGCACAGCAUAUCCUUACCUGUGCCCACUGCCUUAGCAACAGCUGCUUUUUCUCCUAGUCAGGGAUACUAGGAUGGAUUAGCUCUCCUAUGGUUCAGUAGAGUGAAACAUUUUCAUAUUUGUCAGCCCCUGAAUCCAACCAGAUGGAGAACAGACACUCCUCAAGUAGAAAAAGUGGAGGAAAUAUAUUUAUUGAUUAAAAAUAUGAAACACAUCAGAUUU
Molecule: long non-coding RNA, 1365 nt
Filed under: Mus musculus (house mouse)
Lineage: Eukaryota; Metazoa; Chordata; Mammalia; Rodentia; Muridae
Description: RIKEN cDNA 4933435E02 gene
Source: RNAcentral